UUUAUAGUAUUUUUAAGAUUCCUUUUAAGAUCUAGGAAUAGGACCCUAAAACAAGGAAUAUGUAGAACCUAAGUUGUUGGAUGGGAAUAUGUAAGUCUAGAAAAGUGGAAUGCUCAUUCUGCCAUGCUCAUGAUCUGCUGGCUAGUAUGAUCCAAACAUGGACUUGUGCUUCCUUGGCCAGUGGUAGUUUUGGCUAUAAACAUGUGACCCAUUGCUGACCAAUAAGAAAAGAAAACAAUAAGCGCAGGAAAGCAGGGAGAGGAGAGAGGGAAGAAGAGUUCUGGUAAAAUGCUCCUUCAUCAUUGCCAUGUUUUAGAUAUCGGCCACCACUUGAACAUUCUAAGCAGAAAAGGUUCUAUAUAGGAAAUCAGGUGUUUAAAAUAUGGAUGGGUAAGGGGGCAGGUGUUGGACCAGCAGAAAUGUCUGGGAUCAGAAAGCCACAUGCAGGGUCAGACUAGGCCUGCUUGGUCCAUGUGGGUGGAAAUUAAUGCCUGAUUCCUACUUCUCUGUACCCAGAAAGCUGGUAAUGGGCUCUGGGAAUUUUGCUAACAAUGCUGCAAAAGCCCACUGCUUCUAUGCCCAUGUUCACCAGGAAACAGCGACAAAAGAGACCGCACCCUCCUUUCACAUCUAAGAAGGUUCAUUUGAUGCUCAGUCUUCCACAGGAAGAAUCUUACCUGCUUCUUUCUUUCAUUUGGGACCUUGUGUUCAUGAAGCAGGCGGCGGAACCACUGAACUAAUUCCCCAGCCCCUACCCGCUACUUUCUUAGUGCAAAACCCUGGCCCUUCGUCCAUCCUGUCACAUUCUCAUUCCCAGGGAAGUGAGCAAUUGUCAAGUUGGAAAGGAUAAAUGACACACACGUACACGUCCCUGAUCUUUCCUUCCUUCAUCACAUCUCCCACAUGUCUUUCCAUACCUGUUCAACAGCAGCUUUUUGUGACUUGUCCUUAUGAAGCCUUUCCGGUGUAUAAGACUCCAGUUGCAUCAUUGGAGUUGCAUGGACAAGGGGCAGAUAUGGGUUGGAAAAGAGGAGCACCGACUUCCAGAGAACAUUCAGCUCGGUGCAUGGAACAGAAGUGCCUGGCACGCAGUGGGCAGUGAUGGCUUUGCAGAGGUGGCAGAGAGCAUCUGCUCGUGGUGACCCACUGGGCGGAGGCUGUGUCAAGAGCUCCUGUUGUGCUGACAAACUAUCUUCUCCCGCCCAGAUGCAUGUGGACUAGGAUGGUGGCUCCUGCCCCUCUUUAUUGAAGGGCUCGAGUCCUCCACAGGGUGGGCCAAACAAGGAGUUGUGUCUUUGUUUAGCUAAGUUUUUUUUGUUUUGUUUUGUUUUGUUUUUUUAGUAAAAUUCACAAAGGGGAAAAUACACCCCUGCCUUUUGUGAGCUGUCUUAUGUGAAUGUCCUAUCCUCUGCAGUCAUCUCCUAUUUUAUUGUUUCAUUUUUAAUUUCCCCUUUAUUUAUCUCCCUGAACAGUCACCCAACUCCUCUCCCAGGGUAGCACUGCACCCUCAGCACAGCUCCAGCCCCUGCUAGGGCCUCACACUUCCACCUCUUCAGGCCCCAGCCACCGACCCCCAGCCAGGCUUUGUGAGCUCUGCAGGAGCCAGAGGUGAAUUCUGGCCCACGGGUUGGGGUGGAGCAUGAGAAGCAGCAGAACGUGGCUUCUUUCUGUCGGAAGGCGGAUGGCCACCACCACCACCCAAACUAUGGGUUUCUUCAGAAAACCAUCCAUUUUGGUUUUCUUUCCUUUU
This 1750-nucleotide long non-coding RNA is filed under the name Fukomys damarensis (Damara mole-rat). RNAcentral describes it as "lncRNA (ENSFDAG00000023682.1)". Lineage: Eukaryota; Metazoa; Chordata; Mammalia; Rodentia; Bathyergidae. The record is from RNAcentral.